CACCUCACAUAUCCAAAGUGCAUUUCCACGCUGCUGUCUGUCUUGCAAACUGAAAUACUCAAAGACUCCAUCCAUGACUGAGAUUCAACCCCCUCUUACAGGAAGGCUCUUGAUCGCCAUCAGAAUAAGGGGUCCUCAUCCAUCGUGAGUGUAGUUGAACCAAUAGAAUGUUCUGCUUGAUAAUUAUUGCUCUCUAUUUCUUAACAGCCUUUCUUCAAUUUUCAUCCUCAGGUGCAGAAAAUAAAAAAAAAAUUCAAUUACUACAGUUCUAUGCUUUACUUAAUAAUUAAUCGCCCAUCCCAUCACACUAUGAAUAUUUACAUGCAAAGCGUCCCUGGGAGCCAUCCAUAUGCCAGAGGGAGGGAAGUCUGUGUGUUUAUAGCAUUAAACGCUCAAAUAUCGUCACAAACCCCAUUUCGCCUCCAACCAUGAAAAACACUCACUAAAGCAUUGCAAGCAUUUUAUUUGGUGUUGCACAAUGUAACCUAUUCAAGUCCCAUUUAGACGUGGAGAGUCAGACUACAGGUACUCUCUCUAUGCUGAGCAGGAAAAUGCAGGUGGAUGCCCCACUGGUUGCUUGGAUCACUGACUAUUUAACAAGUCGACCACAGCAUGUUCGGCUGAAGAGCUGCCGCUCGGAUAACAGGGGCGCCGCAGGUGACUGUCCUAUUACCCUUCCUCUUCACCCUCUACACAUCUGACUUCAGGUACAAGUCUCAGUGAUGUCAUCUGCAGAAAUUCUCUGAUGACUCUGCCAUUGUGGGCUGU
Molecule: long non-coding RNA, 768 nt
Organism: Oreochromis aureus
Lineage: Eukaryota; Metazoa; Chordata; Actinopteri; Cichliformes; Cichlidae
Source: Ensembl